Molecule: RNA transcript, 2757 nt
Organism: Cucumis sativus (cucumber)
Lineage: Eukaryota; Viridiplantae; Streptophyta; Magnoliopsida; Cucurbitales; Cucurbitaceae
Gene name: dTDP-4-dehydrorhamnose reductase
Exons: 7
Source: RefSeq, a predicted model, not a curated record
GCUUGGUAAGUUGGCCAUAAUCUUUUCAGUUAACCCGAAUUGAGGGAGCUUCAUUUUUUAUUUUUCACUUGCGAAGAACCAGAAAGCGAUUUGGCAACAAAUAUGAGGAAGAAGAAGGUUUUGGUUGUGGGUGGCACAGGUUACUUAGGUCAGCAUCUUCUAUCAGGAUUUUCCGAGAUCGAUGGAGUUCCAUAUGAUAUCGCGUUCACUUAUCACUCCUUUGCGCCUGAGGCUUUGUUGGGAGCUCUUCCUCAUCUGCUUUCAUUUCAAGUUGAUUUAAAAUCUGGUCAAGGAUUCGAUACCAUUACUGAGAAUUUUGGCCAGCCAGAUAUUGUUGUUAAUUGUGCUGCUAUCUCUGUCCCUCGUGCCUGCGAAGUAGACCCCGUCUCUGCAUUUUCUGUCAACGUGCCUACUGCCAUUGGAACUUGGCUUCUCAGUUUUGAAGGGAGGAAUACCCUAUUCAUUCAUCUAUCAACUGAUCAAGUUUAUGAAGGCGUGGAAUCAUUUUAUAAUGAAGAAGAUGAAACCAUUCCUGUGAAUGUUUAUGGCAAGUCAAAGCUAGCAGCUGAGCAGUAUGUUUCUGAGAAAUUUUCUAACUUUGCAAUCUUGAGAUCCAGUAUCAUUUUUGGUCCUCAGACCAUCUCACCUGUUCCUAAAUCUCUUCCUGUUCAGUGGAUCGAUGCUACCUUGUCUGAAGGAAAUGAAGUUGAAUUCUUUCAUGAUGAGUUUCGAUGUCCUGUGUAUGUCAAGGAUGUCGUGAAUGUCAUCAUAACAUUGAUUAAGACAUGGAUAUCAGAGGGCAAGCAAAUGCAAUUGCUAUUAAAUGUUGGUGGACCAAAUCGUGUAUCGCGUGUUGAAAUGGCUGAGACUGUUGCAGAAAUUAGAGGGCACAAGAAAUCAUUGAUCAAAAGAGUGUCUGCAUCAUCAAGCGCCCAAAAUGACUAUAUGGCUAACCGCCGACCGGUAGAGCAAGUGGGCAAUGGCCAAAAACAAGAGGUGGAAGCAAUCCCCCUCCUCUCUCCAAGAACUACUUCAUGACGGUUGCUGUCUGUUGAAGCUUCAGUGGAGAGAACUGUGAGAGCACUUGUGGAAGUUUUACAAAGGUUAGAUGCAGCAGCUCCCUUCAAGAAAUCCAUGAAGAAUGACCAACAAUGGUUCAACAUUGGGGUCAACGUGGUAUUUUCGCAGAGCUGGACAACAAAGAUUGGGAUUGAUUCAUCAAGAAGGAAGAUUCAAAGUUCAAGAUCAUAGAAGACCCAAUCAAGAAUACCAAGAACCAACUCCAAGAUUUCAAGAUUGCAACCUAGAAUUCCAAGCUUGGAGUUCUUCAAAUGAUGAGGAAUAAGAAGGAAAAAACGAAGGCUAUGGGAGAAGGAACCUAGCUCAUUGUGGAGAAAAAAGAGGUGAACCCAUUGAAUAUAAGAUGAAUCGACUUACCAAGCUAUGAUGGCAAGAGGAACAUUGAGAUUUUAAUGGAUUAGCUAAAGAAUACUGAUUUUUUUUAACUAUAUGAAUCCUCCCGAAAGAAAGAAGGUCCACUUGGUGGCAUUAAAACUUAAAGCUAGUGCUUCAGCAUGGUGGGAGCAAGUAGAAGUGAAGCGAAGAAGAAAUGUUAAAAGACCUAUCCUUGCUUGGGAGAAAAUGAAGACACUGAUGAAAGCAAGAUUUCUCCCCCCUAACUAUGAGCAAGCACUUCAUAAUCAAUGCCAAAGCGGUUGACAGGGAGUUUGAGCUAUGGCUGAUUAUAUUGAAGAAUUCCACCGUUUGGGAGCUCGUGCAAAUCUAAUGGAGAAUGAACAACAUUUGAUUGCUUGUUUUAUUGGUGGUCUAUGAUUUGACAUCCCAUUUCUGACUUUAUCUGAAGCCAUUACUUAUGCAGAAUUAGUAAAAGAAUUGGUUGAGGCUAACUCAAAGAAAACUUCUAGGCGAAAUCCAUGGGACAACUCAAGUAGUAGAAGAUCAACAACAACAAAUAGUAAUACUCGUCAUCCUCAAUCUUUGAAAGAUAGAGAAGGAGAAGACCCUUGAUCAAAAUGGGAAAAAGUCAGAAACUACAUCUAAGAAGCCAGUAGAGAACCCCUAUCAACAACCCAAUUUAAGCAAGUGGUUUAGAUGUGGGCAAACUAGUCAUCUCUCCAAUGCUUGUUUUUAACGAAGAACCAUAGCCUUUAUGAGCGAAGAGGAAGAUUUGAAUAGAGAUCAAGAAGCUGUCUUUGAACAAGAAAAGAGAUUUUGGAACCUGAUGAUGGGGAGAGACUUUCUUGCAUCCUCCAAAGAGUCAUGAUAGGACCUAGAGGAGAUACUUAUCACCAACAAGGGCAUAGCUUAUUCAAAACCAGAUCGAUCGAGGUGUAAAAUCCCCAGCAGACAUUUCAAUGAACAUUGGUAAACUGAUCCAGAUACUUGCCAUGUCUCCUGUUUCAUUCACCGACGGUGUCAGAUUGACACUUUGCAGCUGAGAUUACAGAGUGAUUUACAUUGGAAACUGUAAUGACUAAUGCUUCGCUGCUGGUUUAUUUUUAAGGCUCAAUGACUCAAAUUUGGUUUCUAAAGUCUGCAAACUGCUUCAAAAUGCUGCAAAUUUAUUUCAUUUUCUUGGGUUUACAUAAUGGUUUGCAUCUUUUUUCGUUUUCCAAUCAUCAACAAUUUUUCGUUUUCUUUUUCUUGGAACUUCUAUGAAAUUCUGUUCUUCAUCAUUAUCAUCUUAGAACUUUUUUUGUUGAAAGCCCAAGACCUUUCUUUAGUAACUUCUUUCAU